RNAcentral lists this long non-coding RNA (682 nucleotides) under Felis catus (domestic cat). RNAcentral's name for it is "lncRNA (ENSFCAG00000041678.2)". The record is from RNAcentral. Lineage: Eukaryota; Metazoa; Chordata; Mammalia; Carnivora; Felidae.
UGCUUUGUUUUCUUCCUCUCUCGUUUCCACGUUCAGCAUAGAGCACUUCACAAAUCCAUAUUUUUUUCUGCCACCGUUCAAGAUAUUUUGCGAUGAGUUUCGUGCUUAAAUGGCAGAAAGAAUGAAGAGAGUGGGGACUGUUUUGGUUGCCGCUGUUCACGUUUGCCUGUUAAUCUAAUUACCAAGGGAUUUGGACAAGAAAAGGUUUAAAUUCAUUUGAAAGAAGAGUGUGUGAGAAGUCAGAGCAGCUAAAGCCCCCUCUGGGGCUCCCAGAGCUGUUUUCUGGAGUGAGCAUGGUUGGAGCUGAAGGAAGGCCUGCUCUGUGCAAGAAGUUUAACUCUUCCUGGGAUGAAGCAACUCCUUCUGAGGCCCUUUCUCGGGACACAAAACAAACACAUUCCCUCCUACAUACGUGGAUUCUGACCAGUUGAGCAUUUGUGAGAAGCCAUUAGGACUGAAGGCCAAAAUGAUCGUGGUGCUCGCUUUGUGCAACCCAUCACAGAUAUGGAGAAGUCACUGAGACCAGUCAGGGCAUGUAGCCUCGUGAGCAGCGUGUGGAGGCUCGUCCUGGUUGCUACUAAUGUUUCAGAAGACUUCAGCAGGCCAACCACUCAGGUGACUUUUAGAAUGUAUCUAACCAAGAAGAGGUGAGUAUUGCACAGGAGAGUAACUUAAAGCCAGC